Molecule: ribosomal RNA, 884 nt
Filed under: uncultured bacterium
Lineage: Bacteria
Description: bacterial SSU rRNA
Rfam family: Bacterial small subunit ribosomal RNA
Source: RNAcentral
UGGCUCAGGACGAACGCUGGCGGCGCGCUUAACACAUGCGAGUCGAGCGAGAACCAGGGCUUCGGCCCUGGGGACAGCGGCGAACGGGUGAGUAACACGUGGGUAAUCUGCCCUUGACAUCGGGAUAGCCCGGGGAAACCCGGAUUAAUACCGAAUAGCCUCCGGAGCCUUCGGGCGCCGGAGAAAAGGUAGCUUCGGCCUCUGGUCAAGGAUGAGCCCGCGGCGGAUUAGCUUGUUGGCGGGGUAACGGCCCACCAAGGCGACGAUCCGUAGCUGGUCUGAGAGGACGAUCAGCCACACUGGGACUGAGACACGGCCCAGACUCCUACGGGAGGCAGCAGUGGGGAAUCUUGCGCAAAUGCGGGAAACCGUGACGCAGCGACGCCGCGUGGGGGAAGAAGGCCUUCGGGUUGUAAACCUCUUUCAGGAGGGACGAAGCUACUCGGGUGAAUAGCCCAGAGGGUGACGGUACCUUCAGAAGAAGCCCCGGCUAACUACGUGCCAGCAGCCGCGGUAAUACGUAGGGGGCUAGCGUUGUCCGGAUUUAUUGGGCGUAAAGAGCGUGUAGGCGGCUUGGUAGGUCUGCUGUGAAAACUCGAGGCUCAACCUCGAGCUGUCGGCGGAAACCACUUGGCUAGAGUCCGGAAGAGGAGAGUGGAAUUCCUGGUGUAGCGGUGAAAUGCGCAGAUGACAGGAAGAACACCUAUGGCGAAGGCAGCUCUCUGGGACGGUACUGACGCUGAGACGCGAAAGCGUGGGGAGCGAACAGGAUUAGAUACCCUGGUAGUCCACGCUGUAAACGAUGGGUGCUAGGUGUGGGCGGUGUCGACUCCGUCCGUGCCGCAGCUAACGCAUUAAGCACCCCGCCUGGGGAGUACGGCCGC